Solanum tuberosum (potato) is the source of this 1471-nucleotide long non-coding RNA. RefSeq lists it as uncharacterized. The transcript is spliced from 4 exons. The record is from RefSeq and is a predicted model, not a curated record. NCBI's taxonomy places the organism in Eukaryota, Viridiplantae, Streptophyta, Magnoliopsida, Solanales, Solanaceae.
CUAAAUGAUCACACCUUCAAGAAGGAAUCCCAACGUCCUUCUUUCAGUUUUCGACUCAAAUUUGUUAGGAUCCUUAUCCUCCAAGGAAUUUUCAAAAUUUGAACUCGUCUCUUACAAAAAUUUCCGACCGUUGUUUUCCCCCCAACAUCCACCCAUUUUCUCCCUACAAAUCCCCUUUUUUGAACACAUAAAUUCUUCAUCAUCUAAAACAGAGCGAGGGUUUUCAGAUAGCUAAUAUAGCAGCUCAGAUUUUAGGAUUUUUUAUAGGAAAACGUUUUCUUCUUCUGCUGCAUCAGGCUUCUUUGUUCGUCAGAGUCCAGCGACCGUUUCAGUGGUGAGAUCUUCGUUGCUGUCUUGAAAAAGGUUUCCCCCACAAAAUCCACCAAUUUUCUCCCUGUAAACCCCCUUCCUUCACGGAUUUGACCAUAAAAAAACACAAAAUCUUAAUCAUCUAAAACAGAGGGGUUUUCAUAUAGCUAAUGGAAGCGUUUUCUUCUUCGGCUGUAUCAAGCUUCUUUGUUCGUGGGAGUCCAGCCACCAUUUCAGUGGUGGAAACUUCGUCUCGUCCCAAUUGCUGCCCAGAAAAAGUCAGGAUUAUUGCAUUCACAACCCAAGUCAGCUGUAGGAACACCUGCUUACAUUCCUGAGGUCCUGUUACGCAAGGAAUAUGAUGAUCCAGGAAAGCAAAGUACUAAUCUUGAAAGAGCAAGGAAGUGACCACCAAGUUGAUGAAACAAUCAGUUGUAAGUUGCAACACGCUCUUCAAUAAACAUUCGAUGAGAAAUAUCAAUAGGAGCAAGCCCAAAAAAGCACUACGUCAGGUCAAUUUUCCUUCAAAGCCAAUCCCUGAGUUGCCUUAUAAUUCUCUAACUGAAGUGACAGAGCUAAGAAUCCUUUCAUGUUUCUGCAUCCUGAUGUCUCCAUAGAUUAAGAGCGUCUCUGACAGCCUUGGCUUCAGGAGAAUUCUCCCAGGCUCUCUUUUCCGCUUCUAGAACAGUCACUUUAUCAUAAAAUCCAGUCUUAAUCAUGAGAAACUCCAUGGAACCUCCAAUCAUGGCCGAAACAACUGCAAUUUUCAGAUACCAAUCCCAGAAUUUUAUUUUACCCUUGUAACACUUCUUCAAUUCCUAGUCGCCCAAGCAAUAUUGAUUCUACUGCUUCUUCUCCGUUUUCUUGAUUUCUUCACUUCAAUGAAUCCAUUGGUUUGCUAUUUGUGCCACCAGUUUACAUGGUGUAAUGCCUAUCAAUGGGGCGCGUCUGGGACCGAUUCCUGUGAUAGUAGUUACUGUUAUUGUUUUCUUAUAAUUUAUUCAGAUGUCUCCACUUUGAACUUUACACGCCCCUUCAAAAAUAUUAGUAUGAAUAUUUCACCAUGAUAUUCCUAUUGAUUGUUAGGUCUUGAGAAACAAUGAAAAUUUGAUUAUACAUCUUAAUAUUGUUGAAUGAAGUUAACAUCUCGCUGUUUAGAUUG